This 71-nucleotide transfer RNA is filed under the name Enterobacter sp. RNAcentral describes it as "tRNA-Lys". It matches the Rfam family "tRNA". Rfam says of the family: Transfer RNA (tRNA) molecules are approximately 80 nucleotides in length. Their secondary structure includes four short double-helical elements and three loops (D, anti-codon, and T loops). Lineage: Bacteria; Pseudomonadati; Pseudomonadota; Gammaproteobacteria; Enterobacterales; Enterobacteriaceae. The record is from RNAcentral.
GUUAGCUCAGUUGGUAGAGCAGUUGACUUUUAAUCAGUUGGUCGCAGGUUCGAAUCCUGCACGACCCACCA